RNAcentral lists this ribosomal RNA (484 nucleotides) under uncultured bacterium. RNAcentral describes it as "partial 16S ribosomal RNA". It matches the Rfam family "Bacterial small subunit ribosomal RNA", at positions 28 to 523 of the family's 1533-position model. The record is from RNAcentral.
GACGAACGCUGGCGGCGUGCUUAACACAUGCAAGUCGAACGAUGAAGCUGGAGCUUGCUCCGGUGGAUUAGUGGCGAACGGGUGAGUAACACGUGAGCAAUCUGCCCUUGACUCUGGGAUAACUGCGGGAAACUGUAGCUAAUACCGGAUACUUUCACUGGAAGGCAUCUUCUGGUUAAGAAAGAAUUUCGGUCAAGGAUGAGCUCGCGGCCUAUCAGCUUGUUGGUGAGGUAACGGCUCACCAAGGCGACGACGGGUAGCCGGCCUGAGAAGGUGACCGGCCACAAUGGGACUGAGACACGGCCCAGACUCCUACGGGAGGCAGCAGUGGGGAAUAUUGCACAAUGGGCGCAAGCCUGAUGCAGCAACGCCGCGUGAGGGAUGAAGGCCUUCGGGUUGUAAACCUCUUUUAGCAGGGAAGAAGCGAAAGUGACGGUACCUGCAGAAAAAGCACCGGCUAACUACGUGCCAGCAGCCGCGGUAA